UAUAAAAUACGUGCUUAUCGAAUAGGCUACAUCAUUGAAAACGGUUAACGUCACAAGUUAUUUUACAUGUCUUUCGCGAAUCCGAUAUGUAUGCUGUACCAGUGUACUGUAAAUUUUUGAUAAAUUUAUACUCCGUGUUAUGUGAACAUGCCUACAUCGUAGUACAAACGUACUAUAUAUUAUACCGCAUUUUACCAUCGUGAGCUUUUUUACACCGUGCCAUCUAUUUAGAUGUAACGAUAGGACAUCCAAAAUCAAACAUUGCAAGAAGCAAAAAGUUCACAAAAAUGAUGAUGCAAAAGUGUAGAAUUCCCGUGAAGGAGUAAAAUCGUCUCAUCGAGAUUUCAUUAACGUUUUCUAGACCAAUUCGUUGGGAAAUUCGAAAUAUGAUCCAUCAUUGUCAUCGUAAUUCAAACUGGAAGCUAUAAGUAUAAGUAAUUUAAUAAUACCCACAAAGAAAAAAAGCCAAACAAUUCAUUAAAUAGGCAUCGCAAAUAUUACCUAAAAACAAAUUCAAGUUCUUCCUGAAUGAUUCAACAAUCCAUAUCGUUGAAUUUACGAAGUGAAGUGAGGAUUUGUUUUGAAAAUGGGUGAAAAAAUUGUGAAAUAUCAACUUGACAGCAGCUGAAAGUUUAAAGAUGUGUCUGAAAGACGAAGAUGCACUAGUGCUUCAAGAGAAGAAAAAGGAGAAGAAGACGAAGAUGAAGGAGAAUAAUAGAAUAAUCAUAAAUGUAAAAUGCGUUAUGUUACCUAUAACUAUUUUUUUGCACAUUAGUAAAAUGCUUUUUUAAA
Molecule: long non-coding RNA, 792 nt
Organism: Planococcus citri (citrus mealybug)
Lineage: Eukaryota; Metazoa; Arthropoda; Insecta; Hemiptera; Pseudococcidae
Exons: 4
Source: RefSeq, a predicted model, not a curated record